AUGACGCGCAUGGUAAUGAUCAUGAUCAUAAUGAAGCAGAGGAUGGUCCCCUGGAGACAUUUCAUCUACUUCCUCUCUUCUCAGCAUCCGUUCUAGGUAAAAAUGUCAAUGCCAGUAUCAGCUAGGCAAAUUCCGUUUCACAAAUAUCUAAAUAUCCGUUAGACUCCCUUCCUACAUACUCUCUAAUCCAUACAAUUCGUCUUUUGAUAACCACUCGUUGCGAAAUCACUCUGUCCUGGGAUCAGUUCCGAUCGCCCCAGGUCUCCCAAUUCUUGCUCAAGCCAAUUCAAUUGCAGAUCCGUGCUUCUCAUUUAUCCAGUGCCACUCUAUGCGUUGAUAGCCAAUUAUCUUCAAUACAAAAAGGAAGCAGAUUUGCGCCCGGGAAACAGCGGUGCCGGCAAUACAAGGGCUAUGGUAUGCGAAUUGCUCGCCAUCAAGUUGUUAAAGGAUUGCUCUACUCGGGAGUUGAUUGAUACUCUCUCACACGAUUUCUAUUAUCCAGUGCAGGGACAGCCGCCUCCCUUGUCAAGCAGCACCACCAACCCAUACAUUUGAAUACCAGCCAACAAUCGAAAUUAGUGCCCCCAGGAUAGUCCGAAUCCCUUGUCUCGAAAUUACCAUCCGUGCACAGGCAAACUUCUUCUUGCAUGUCCUCUUGUAGUUCAACAACUCGAAGCUAUUUGGGCAGGUAACAUUCGUGGUCCAUUUCGCUGCGGAUAGUCUACAUCGCCCAAUAGUUGCAACCAGCGCACCAUCGCCUUACAAGGGAUAUGAUUCAUUCGUCCGAACGAGCAAUAGGUAUGGCCCCGUCAAACGCAACGUCAGCCGUAGCUAGAGUUUUGCCGUUGGAACUCGUCGCUCCGUCACACUCUAUAACCCACGAGAUGCUUCGCUUUUGAAACCAUCACGGCUAAGGGUCACUCGUUAUCAACAAGUACAUACUUUCCACAAUGUCGUUCGCCAUUUUACUGGGGCUCUUUCUUGCAGUGAUUCGGAGGUGGUCUCGGGAAGUCUCUAGCCCAGAUCUUGUAUUUUGGUUUUGCAGCGCAGGAUUUAUGUUCGAUGAACUUGUAGGGUUCAACGAGCAUGGAUCCAACCUCUGAUGAACUUCUGGAACACUUUUGAUGUGGGCAUAAUGCUCAUGUUGUUUUGCUCUCAUUGUUUGAGAAUAUAUCUGAUCCACUCAAACAAUUCAUUUCAAGCAAUGCAUAUGAUAUUUUAGCCGCCAAUGCAGUUCUCCUCCUCCCACACCUCUUCUCCGUUCUCGACCACUGCCGCUAUUUUUCGCAGCUUCGAAUCGCCUUCCGUAUGAUGGCUGCUGACCUUGUUGCCGUUUUCACACACUGAUAGUCAUCUCCACUCUCAACACCAUGACCAAAAUGUUUCUUCCACUCUAGCCAUGAAACUAGGCUCCGAUAUUGGCGACAUCAAAGCCGUCGGUGGUGGUUUCAUCGGGACGAUCCCGUCCAGCUUUGUGACUAAAAUGGCAAAUACGACUAGCGGUUUACGACGGCUUGCUCCAACAAGCAUUGAGUAAAUUGGUGUUGGCGCGGUUGAAGGCGCUUGAGGAGGAUUUCGGGAGGUUAUUUGGGAGGUCAAAGGAUUGAGACGGGAGGGUGGACAUGAUCGCGAAAGCGAACAUGAGCGGGAUACGAGAAGGAGGAAAAGCGUGAAUUUUUCGAAGAAGGGGGAAUGGGGCCGGCAGUGGUUACAGUAGAGUAGGGCGAACACCAAGAUUAGGUCUGGUUCUGGUAAUUAAGGUGUCUGUGAUGGUCAAACUCGUGAAUGAUGGUAGAUGUAGGAGGAAGGUAGCCAAGCGGGAGUAAAUAUUCAGGGGCGGUGGUUCGCUGUAAUUAGUUUGGGCGUUUCGGCAUUCAUCUACAGUAUCGUGUCUGGUCGAGACUGGCGUCACUUGGUGUUUUGUGUUUUUAUAUCCUUAAAUCCUGUUUAAAGAGGAUUCUGACCUGAUACCAUAGGAUUGUAAUUGGGGCAUCGGUGUCAUUUUUGUAUUAUAGAU
RNAcentral lists this small RNA (2017 nucleotides) under Histoplasma capsulatum. Its description in RNAcentral is "hypothetical RNA". RNAcentral also lists the same sequence under 1 other name. Lineage: Eukaryota; Fungi; Ascomycota; Eurotiomycetes; Onygenales; Ajellomycetaceae. The record is from RNAcentral.